RNAcentral lists this ribosomal RNA (496 nucleotides) under uncultured bacterium. RNAcentral describes it as "partial 16S ribosomal RNA". It matches the Rfam family "Bacterial small subunit ribosomal RNA", at positions 29 to 507 of the family's 1533-position model. The record is from RNAcentral.
AUGAACGCUGGCGGCGUGCCUAAUACAUGCAAGUCGAGCGAACGGACGAGAAGCUUGCUUCUCUGAUGUUAGCGGCGGACGGGUGAGUAACACGUGGAUAACCUACCUAUAAGACUGGGAUAACUUCGGGAAACCGGAGCUAAUACCGGAUAAUAUUUUGAACCGCAUGGUUCAAAAGUGAAAGACGGGCUUGCUGUCACUUAUAGAUGGAUCCGCGCUGCAUUAGCUAGUUGGUAAGGUAACGGCUUACCAAGGCAACGAUGCAUAGCCGACCUGAGAGGGUGAUCGGCCACCCUGGAACUGAGACACGGUCCAGACUCCUACGGGAGGCAGCAGUAGGGAAUCUUCCGCAAUGGGCGAAAGCCUGACGGAGCAACGCCGCGUGAGCGAUGAAGGUCUUCGGAUCGUAAAACUCUGUUAUUAGGUAAGAACAUAUGUGUAAGUAACUGUGCACAUCUUGACGGUACCUAAUCAGAAAGCCACGGCUAACUACGUG